GGGGUUUUAGCGCAGCUGGAAGCGCGCAUCGCUGGCAGCGAUGAGGUCACGGGUUCGAAUCCCGUAAGCUCCACCA
RNAcentral lists this transfer RNA (76 nucleotides) under Erysipelotrichaceae bacterium. RNAcentral's name for it is "tRNA-Ala". It matches the Rfam family "tRNA". Rfam says of the family: Transfer RNA (tRNA) molecules are approximately 80 nucleotides in length. Their secondary structure includes four short double-helical elements and three loops (D, anti-codon, and T loops). Lineage: Bacteria; Bacillati; Bacillota; Erysipelotrichia; Erysipelotrichales; Erysipelotrichaceae. The record is from RNAcentral.